Molecule: long non-coding RNA, 3275 nt
Organism: Salvelinus fontinalis (brook trout)
Lineage: Eukaryota; Metazoa; Chordata; Actinopteri; Salmoniformes; Salmonidae
Exons: 3
Source: RefSeq, a predicted model, not a curated record
CCCUGGAAUGAGUAGGUGUGUCCAAACUUUUGGCUGGUACUGUAUAUAUCUCGUGAAUCUCACACAAAUUGAAAAAAUCUAGGUAAUUUAUUUUUAGGCCAUAUCACCCAGCCAUAGUUAGUCUCUUGCCCCUGGUAGAAACAGUUGAAAGGGUAGUCCAAAACAGAGCUCAUUUUGAAGUAUCCAUCACCUAGGCUAACAAGUGAAUGAAGUUUGUGUAAAAUAGGAAAAAUACUUUGCAAACAACUCUUCUAAGUGCACAAAAAGUAGACACCCCAAUAAUCUACAGUUCUCCACAUAGUUGGGAUUUAGGACAAAUGUGACUUUGCAUCAAUAUCCAAUUAAGAAAAUUCCAUUGAUGUCAAUGUGUAAGUGCACAAUAUGCACAACGAUUUGAAUUCUAGCCCGAGUCAGUUGUUACCGUGCAACUGUUUAGGCUUUGUGGUCACUGUAGUUUCCAUAUGCUAGUAUGAGUCAGCAUAAGACUGCUGACCCUCAAGAUGGCUGCCUGCUCUCGCAGUGUAUUCAACGUUGGUUACAGAGGGAGAGGAGCCCUAAACUAACACAGCUUGUUUUAACCUCAUUUUCAUCAUCUCCAGCACCAUACCGGUGUCUUCAUACAUGGCUAGUACUCCUAGGGAGUGCAUUGUUUGGCCUGAGAUCUGAGGGUUUAGGUUCUUAAAGGAAGCCUCCGUGUUGGCACAGCCAGGUUGGGUUGGGCUGAGGCUCAUCCCUGGACAAAUCUGUUCUCACUAAAUCUACACUCUCCCCACCACACUCUCCUCUUCCCAUGGUGUGUGCGUGUGUGCGUGUUGUUAAUAUCCAAAUCCUAGUGAUGAAAAUGUGACGUCAACCUCGAACACUGUUCCCAUUGUUUUCACACACACGCUUUUCGGCUUUUACAGUGCUGUGGUCACACGUUUGACGAGCACACACGCUCACACACACGCUCACACACGACCACACAAGCAGCUCUAGUGUCUCUUGGAUAUACACUCACUUACAUUAAUAAAUAUUUACAAAAGUCUCUUCUCUAUGGUGACUCACAGACAUAUUACACACACGCUCGCGCACACACACACCAUGCAGAGUAUGGGACUGUAUGCCUGAUGGCAUCCCAUGUGAUCGCCUGAAUAGCGGGUCUAUCCUUGGAUUCUUCACCCUCUUGUUCAUCCUGUUAUCUGAGAACUGGUGAUCCAUUUAUUGAUCAAAAAGUAACCAUUAUGGAUGUGUUCAUCCAUAUAACAAUAGUGCACAAUGUUCAGUGCUAAAGUUUACCUUGGUACAGACAACUGACUAUUGUGACUUGCGUCAACAGAUGACCAUCUAUGUAUUGACAGUAUUGUUACUGUAUGUAUUGACAGUAUUGUUACUGUAUGUAUUGACAGUAUUGUUACUGUAUGUAUUGACAGUUUCAUGUAUUGACAGUAUCGUUAUGCCUGUCUGUGAAUAAAGCAGCUAUCAUGCCUCAAGUCAAGGAACAGUGAAACCUGAUUGUUCUGUGUCUUCUCUCCUUCCUCCCGCCAUCCUCUUCCUUGAGUGGCCCGAGGGCCGCGUACGGACGUGCUGGGGGCCGCGUGCGGACGUGCUGGCUGCUCCUGUCGGAGAUAAAGGAGCUGCGUGAGGAGACACUGGACUUCCUUGUAAACAUGUGCACUCAGCGCCAGCGUGGAGAGCCCUACGCUGUGAGGCAUGGAGGAGGAGAAAGAGGGAACCACAUUGCGAAGACCCCUGCUCCUGGGGUGUCUGUUGCAGUACUCGCACACUGUGAGCUGGCCCGGGGAGAGAUCCUGAGGUGGCUGGAAGAGAGGAGGCAGGAAGGAAGGAAAGGAGAGGGAUGGAGAAGGGUCGAGAGGCACCCUCUGGCCCCAGGAGACAAUCAUCUCUACCCUCACUACCCUGGCCCUGCAUGAGACCCACCCUCAGUCUCCAGCUUCAGUCUCCAAGUAAAUCAAAGGGCAGGAGGAUCGGAGGAUAUCCUGAUGUAGCAAAGGUUUGUUCACUUAUAAACCAGGUUAGUCCUGUUUUUAACUGGGGAUCAUUCAAUCGUUAAAACCUGGGUUGGUGGUGUAUGAAUGUAGCAUGCGUGCAACUAACAGUCUCCUUUUGGCCAGGAAUCCCCUAUCCGUCAGAGCCGAGGCCCAGAUUAGUUUACUAACAAUGACUGAAGAAACAGCAUAUAGAGAAAGUGAUCCUCUGUAGAAAAUCCCCUACGUUUAGAACAAGAGCUAAAAUCACUCCUCGGUGUUAGUUCCUCUAGUCUAGCCUGGAGACGGACACCUAGAGUCCCACCAGGUUCCAAGUUUUGGCAUACAAACGUUGGCAGAGGCUGAAGGAGAGGUUAAUGUAGCUGUACCUGGUCUAAGUACAGUCCUUAAGGCUCCCUCUGGAGAAUGACCUAGGUGGCCAUUGACAGCUGCCAUUAUUGAAGGUUGACUUCACUUUAACCUUCCUGAACCAGCUUUUAUAUGUUUAUGAUUACAGAUUUGUUGUGAUAGUUGUUAUUGAGUACUACAGUACAGGCUAUUGGGAUCAGAAGCUAUAGCCUUGAUCUCACACUCUGGUUCUUGCGGAGACAUAGCAGGAAGUUGGGGCUGUAAAGUGUGUGUUCAUUUGACACCCCUCUCUCACACGCGCACACACACACACACACACACACACACCUCAACACUUCCUGGUCUCUGCUCAUCUGCACGGUGUGUGUGUGUGUGUGUGUAACUGCCAGUGAAUGUGUGUGGGCAUAUGGGUACAGGUAUACAAAGAUUUGAACCAUUUGAGUCCCAGCACUCAAAACAGAUUGGUUUCUCUGAGCUGUGGAGAGUGAAGGGUUAAGCAGAGCAGGGCCUUGUUAAAAAGGCAGGUGGAGAGCAGGGGCUGGUGUGGUCCCCAGGUUAGGGGCCCAGGUGAGGUAAAACUGGGAAUAGAGGUACCGUGGCCCCAUAUCCCUCUGAUGUGGGUAACUGAGCAGAGGUGGCUGAACACACAGCAUGAUGACACCAGGGAGAGAUGAGGGAGGGAGGUCCACCAAUCUCUCUUAUUUCACCACUAUCAUUACAGCCCGCCUCCCCCAAAAUCCCCCUCUGUCAUUGGGACACCCAACACCCCCCAGCUGCAGAAGCUAAGUGUCAUAGCUGUCGCUUUCCUCAUCCUCAGAUGAGGUGAGGAGAGAAGGAUCUUCUGACCAAAAUGCGGAGUCUGGGAAAUAUGCCAUCUUUAUUUUAUAACGAACACCGAUGACAACGAAAACAAACACUUUCAAAACUUACAAAAUAACA